RNAcentral lists this ribosomal RNA (368 nucleotides) under uncultured organism. RNAcentral describes it as "bacterial SSU rRNA". It matches the Rfam family "Bacterial small subunit ribosomal RNA", at positions 526 to 896 of the family's 1533-position model. The record is from RNAcentral.
CGUAGGGUGCGAGCGUUAAUCGGAAUUACUGGGCGUAAAGCGUGCGCAGGCGGUUUGUAAGACAGAUGUGAAAUCCCCGGGCUCAACCUGGGACCUGCAUUGUGACUGCAAGGCUAGAGUACGGUAGAGGGGGAUGGAAUUCCGCGUGUAGCAGUGAAAUGCGUAGAUAUGCGGAGGAACACCGAUGGCGAAGGCAAUCCCCUGGACCUGUACUGACGCUCAUGCACGAAAGCGUGGGGAGCAAACAGGAUUAGAUACCCUGGUAGUCCACGCCCUAAACGAUGUCAACUGGUUGUUGGGUCUUUACUGACUCAGUAACGAAGCUAACGCGUGAAGUUGACCGCCUGGGGAGUACGGCCGCAAGGUUG